Molecule: long non-coding RNA, 237 nt
Filed under: Sorghum bicolor (sorghum)
Lineage: Eukaryota; Viridiplantae; Streptophyta; Magnoliopsida; Poales; Poaceae
Description: long non-coding RNA (SBIC_LNC017726)
Source: RNAcentral
CGGCCGCUCGCUGCAGAGUUUUUCUUUUUCUUUUUAUGCAGUUUUUCUUUAUGUUUGAAUUUGUGUAAUAAAUCUUGUGUUGAUCCAAAAAUCAUAGAAAUUUUUGUGUAGAUUCCCUGGAAUAAGUAGAACCCAAGAAAAAUGUUAGAUCUUAGUUUCUGAUAGUUUACAUGUGUAUGAAAAUUGCCUCUUUUGUUUAAUAAAUGAAACUUCUAUGAAUUUUUGUAAUUUAUUUAU